This 396-nucleotide ribosomal RNA is filed under the name uncultured bacterium. Its description in RNAcentral is "partial 16S ribosomal RNA". It matches the Rfam family "Bacterial small subunit ribosomal RNA", at positions 523 to 918 of the family's 1533-position model. The record is from RNAcentral.
AUACGAAGGGUGCAAGCGUUACUCGGAAUUACUGGGCGUAAAGCGUGCGUAGGUGGUUGUUUAAGUCUGUCGUGAAAGCCCUGGGCUCAACCUGGGAAUGGCGAUGGAAGCUGGGCGACUAGAGUGUGGCAGAGGGUAGUGAAUUCCUGGUGUAGCAGUGAAAUGCGUAGAGAUCAGGAGGAACAUCCGUGGCGAAGGCGACUGCCUGGGCCAACACUGACACUGAGGCACGAAAGCGUGGGGAGCAAACAGGAUUAGAUACCCUGGUAGUCCACGCCCUAAACGAUGCGAACUGGAUGUUGGGUGCAAUUUGGCACGCAGUAUCGAAGCUAACGCGUUAAGUUCGCCGCCUGGGGAGUACGGUCGCAAGACUGAAACUCAAAUGAAUUGACGGGG